GAUGAACGCUGGCGGCGUGCCUAAUACAUGCAAGUCGAGCGAACGGACGAGAAGCUUGCUUCUCUGAUGUUAGCGGCGGACGGGUGAGUAACACGUGGAUAACCUACCUAUAAGACUGGGAUAACUUCGGGAAACCGGAGCUAAUACCGGAUAAUAUUUUGAACCGCAUGGUUCAAAAGUGAAAGACGGUCUUGCUGUCACUUAUAGAUGGAUCCGCGCUGCAUUAGCUAGUUGGUAAGGUAACGGCUUACCAAGGCAACGAUGCAUAGCCGACCUGAGAGGGUGAUCGGCCACACUGGAACUGAGACACGGUCCAGACUCCUACGGGAGGCAGCAGUAGGGAAUCUUCCGCAAUGGGCGAAAGCCUGACGGAGCAACGCCGCGUGAGUGAUGAAGGUCUUCGGAUCGUAAAACUCUGUUAUUAGGGAAGGACAUAUGUGUAAGUAACUGUGCACAUCUUGACGGUACCUAAUCAGAAAGCCACGGCUAACUACGUGCCAGCAGCCGCGGUAAUACGUAGGUGGCAAGCGUUAUCCGGAAUUAUUGGGCGUAAAGCGCGCGUAGGCGGUUUUUUAAGUCUGAUGUGAAAGCCCACGGCUCAACCGUGGAGGGUCAUUGGAAACUGGAAAACUUGAGUGCAGAAGAGGAAAGUGGAAUUCCAUGUGUAGCGGUGAAAUGCGCAGAGAUAUGGAGGAACACCAGUGGCGAAGGCGACUUUCUGGUCUGUAACUGACGCUGAUGUGCGAAAGCGUGGGGAUCAAACAGGAUUAGAUACCCUGGUAGUCCACGCCGUAAACGAUGAGUGCUAAGUGUUAGGGGGUUUCCGCCCCUUAGUGCUGCAGCUAACGCAUUAAGCACUCCGCCUGGGGAGUACGACCGCAAGGUUGAAACUCAAAGGAACUGACGGGGACCCGCACAAGCGGUGGAGCAUGUGGUUUAAUUCGAAGCAACGCGAAGAACCUUACCAAAUCUUGACAUCCUUUGACAACUCUAGAGAUAGAGCUUUCCCCUUCGGGGGACAAAGUGACAGGUGGUGCAUGGUUGUCGUCAGCUCGUGUCGUGAGAUGUUGGGUUAAGUCCCGCAACGAGCGCAACCCUUAAGCUUAGUUGCCAUCAUUAAGUUGGGCACUCUAAGUUGACUGCCGGUGACAAACCGGAGGAAGGUGGGGAUGACGUCAAAUCAUCAUGCCCCUUAUGAUUUGGGCUACACACGUGCUACAAUGGACAAUACAAAGGGCAGCGAAACCGUGAGGUCAAGCAAAUCCCAUAAAGUUGUUCUCAGUUCGGAUUGUAGUCUGCAACUCGACUACAUGAAGCUGGAAUCGCUAGUAAUCGUAGAUCAGCAUGCUACGGUGAAUACGUUCCCGGGUCU
Molecule: ribosomal RNA, 1372 nt
Filed under: uncultured bacterium
Lineage: Bacteria
Description: bacterial SSU rRNA
Rfam family: Bacterial small subunit ribosomal RNA
Source: RNAcentral